This 255-nucleotide ribosomal RNA is filed under the name uncultured bacterium. RNAcentral's name for it is "partial 16S ribosomal RNA". It matches the Rfam family "Bacterial small subunit ribosomal RNA", at positions 524 to 776 of the family's 1533-position model. The record is from RNAcentral.
GACAGAGGGUGCAAACGUUGUUCGGAAUUACUGGGCGUAAAGCGCGUGUAGGCGGCUUCGCAAGUCGGGUGUGAAAUCCCACGGCUCAACCCGUGGAAGUGCAUUCGAAACUGCGAGGCUAGAGUCCUGGAGAGGAAGGUGGAAUGCUUGGUGUAGAGGUGAAAUUCGUAGAUAUCAAGCGGAAACACCGGUGGCGAAGGCGGCGACCUGGUCCGUGACUGACGCUGAGGCGCGAAAGCGUGGGGAGCGAACAGG